UGUGUAGCUGGCCUGCUUCAUCUGGGCCCAUUUUCUAUAAAAUACCAGCACCUUGUUGUACUGCUUACUAGUUUGUACCAUGAAGCUCUGGAUCCAUCUCCCAGUUCUACUUCUCAUUAUAUACCAAGGACUUCAGGCUGAAGCAGGAGUACGUGGGUAGGGAUUUGGAAAAUGAGAUUCUGAGACAUGUUGGUGAGGUCAUGUGCACAGAGAGAUCAGUAUGGAAUCAUAGUGGCAUCUGCAAUUGGAUAUGUGCCAAAGAGGUGCUUACUUCCUCCGCAAUUUGGACCUUGUAUAGGCAGAAAGCUUCGAUGGCAUUAUGACAGCAAAAUUUCUAAAUGUCGGGUAUUUCCCUAUGGAGGUUGCAAAGGCAAUACCAACAACUUUGAGACUGAAGAAAAAUGUAGGAAGAUCUGUAGAAAAUCCGGCCAUUGAGAAUACUCUGUUGUCUGGAAAAUACUCUGAAAAUAAAAGGCAUUUGUGAA
This is an RNA transcript of Erinaceus europaeus (western European hedgehog), 485 nucleotides long. It is a transcript of the gene named hemolymph trypsin inhibitor B-like, with no coding region annotated. The record is from RefSeq and is a predicted model, not a curated record. The transcript is spliced from 3 exons. Lineage: Eukaryota; Metazoa; Chordata; Mammalia; Eulipotyphla; Erinaceidae.